GCCCUAUGCGUGUCACUUGUGACUGUGUAGAGGUUGAGCAGUAGGCAAGCGACCCGAAAGAUGGUGAACUAUGCCUGAGCAGGAUGAAGCCAGAGGAAACUCUGGUGGAAGUCCGUAUCGGUUCUGACGUGCAAAUCGAUCGAUAGACUUGGGUAUAGGGGCGAAAGACUAAUCGAACCAUCUAGUAGCUGGUUCCUUCCGAAGUUUCCCUCAGGAUAGCUGGAACUCUUGCAGUUAUAUUCGGUAAAGCUAAUGAUUAGAGGCCUUGGGGACGUAAUGUCCUCAACCUAUUCUCAAACUUUCAAUGGAUAUGGCGUCGCAGUUUCUUUAGUGAACUGCGGCGUGAAUGCGAGUUCCAAGUGGGCCAUUUUUGGUAAGCAGAACUGGCGCUGUGGGAUGAACCAAACGUGGAGUUAAGGUGCCUAACUUCUCGCUUAUGAGACCCCAUAAAAGGUGUUGGUUGAUAUUGACAGCAGGACGGUGGCCAUGGAAGUCGGUACCCGCUAAGGAGUGUGUAACAACUCACCUGCCGAAUCAACUAGCCCUGAAAAUGGAUGGCGCUUAAGCGAGAGACCUAUACUCCGCCGUCGCGGCAUGUGCGUUGUCUAGCGCCAGGUCGCGACGAGUAGGAAGGACGUGGCGGUUGCGUUGAAGGCUAUGAGCGUAGGCUCGGCUGGAGCUUCCGUCAGUGCAGAUCGUAAUGGUAGUAGCAAAUAUUCAAGUUCGAUCCUUGAAGACUGAAGUGGAGAAGGGUUCCACGUGAACAGUAGUUGGAUGUGGGUCAGUCGAUCCUAAGGUACUGGCGAAAGCCUUGUAUCAUCGGUGGCGAAAAGCUUGCUUUUUGUCCCCGCCCGUCGAAAGGGAAUAGGGUUAAUAUUCCCUAACUGAGAUGCAAAGAUUGUGUUCUUUCGGAGCACAAGCGCGGUAACGCGUUCGAACUUGGUAAGUCGCUCAGAGACCGAGCUAGAGUUUUCUUCUCUAGUUAAGGAACGGACUCCCUGGAAUUGGUUCAGCCAGAGAUGGGGACGUUGUUUCCGAAAAG
RNAcentral lists this non-coding RNA (1042 nucleotides) under Caenorhabditis japonica. Its description in RNAcentral is "Eukaryotic large subunit ribosomal RNA". It matches the Rfam family "Eukaryotic large subunit ribosomal RNA", at positions 763 to 1763 of the family's 3401-position model. The record is from Rfam by way of RNAcentral. Lineage: Eukaryota; Metazoa; Nematoda; Chromadorea; Rhabditida; Rhabditidae.